GACGGAAGGUGCAAGCGUUGCUCGGAAUCACUGGGCGUAAAGGGUGCGUAGGCGGGUCUUUAAGUCAGGGGUGAAAUCCUGGAGCUCAACUCCAGAACUGCCUUUGAUACUGAAGAUCUUGAGUUCGGGAGAGGGUAGUGGAAUUCCCGGUGUAGUGGUGAAAUGCGUAGAUAUCGGGAGGAACACCAGUGGCGAAGGCGACUACCUGGCCUGUUUCUUGACGCUGAGGCGCGAAAGCUAGGGGAGCAAACGGG
This 254-nucleotide ribosomal RNA is filed under the name uncultured bacterium. RNAcentral describes it as "partial 16S ribosomal RNA". It matches the Rfam family "Bacterial small subunit ribosomal RNA", at positions 524 to 776 of the family's 1533-position model. The record is from RNAcentral.